RNAcentral lists this long non-coding RNA (245 nucleotides) under Mytilus galloprovincialis (Mediterranean mussel). The record is from RNAcentral. Lineage: Eukaryota; Metazoa; Mollusca; Bivalvia; Mytilida; Mytilidae.
GAGAUAUUUUAGUCAACUAUCUGCACUGUACAUCAUACUGAUGAAAUAAGGAACAUAUACAUAAACUCUACUAGUUGAGAACGGUUUAGAAAACAAAUUAAAAAUUAAGUCCCAAGUUUUUAGACAUACUUCUUGGUUUAAGAAAUAUUGGUCAAAAAGGUCCCUGUGUUUUCAUCAUUCAAACAAUCAUUUUGUUUAGAAGAGAUAAGAUAUCUUGAGCACCACUUCCUAAACCAGUAUCCAUG